UACGUAGGGGGCAAGCGUUGUCCGGAAUCAUUGGGCGUAAAGAGCGUGUAGGCGGCCCGGUAAGUCCGCUGUGAAAGUCCAGGGCUCAACCCUGGAAUGCCGGUGGAUACUGUCGGGCUAGAGUCCGGAAGGGGCGAGUGGAAUUCCUGGUGUAGCGGUGAAAUGCGUAGAUAUCGUGAGGAAGACCAGUGGCGAAGGCGGGUCUCUGGACAGUUCCUGACGCUGAGGCGCGAAGGCCAGGGGAGCAAACGGG
RNAcentral lists this ribosomal RNA (253 nucleotides) under uncultured bacterium. RNAcentral describes it as "partial 16S ribosomal RNA". It matches the Rfam family "Bacterial small subunit ribosomal RNA", at positions 524 to 776 of the family's 1533-position model. The record is from RNAcentral.